GUUUCAAUCAUCUGCUGCCUCGUCUACAGUCCCAGUGAGGUGAGAUGGAUCCUACCACGUCAGGAGCGUCUUCUGGUUGACGUUGUAGAGGUGGAUGGAGGUGUUGGUCAUCAGCGUGGGGCAGCUGACUACAACGUCCCGGGUGGUGUUGUAGUCCCUCAGGACGGAAGCGCAGCGACUGUCCUGGACCCCGCCCAGUGAACGUCCCUCACUGUGGACGUCACACAGCUUCAGGAAGAUGGCCUCCACCAGCCUGCUGACUUUAGGGGACUGAGCAGCGCCCGCACCUUUGCCUAGAAAGGAACUGCACACAACCAGAACCCAGCGUUCAAGGACAGAAACAGACAUGAGGAGACACAUUUAAUAUCUAUGACUCAUAUCUAUGAUUUAAAUCUUACCGCUGCACGCUGUCCACGCCGGCAAUGCUGCUUGACCGCGAGCUCUUAAAGCGGCCUGUCACCAACCGGCGCGGGGGGAAGGCAUCUGGUGCCUUGUCAUGAUCCAGCAGCUUCUCCCACAAGGCGACGAUCUCUCUGGCCUUUAGCUGCGUCACAUACGUGUGAUGACACAGCUCUCCUAUGGCGUGGGCCAGAGCGGUGACGUGCUGGUACCCGCUACGUCCAUCUGGGCCAAGUGCAUCCUGUAAAUGCAAAAGAAUAAAAAGAUGGAAUAAAUAUCCACAUCGUAACCAAAAAGACACAAUCAAAUGGUAGGUUAUGUCUAAUCACCCUCUGCGACAUCCAUUCCCGUCUCCAACUCCAAACUGAUAGGAAGGUCACAGCUGAAUGGUUAAAGCUGUAAUUCAGGACUGUGUGUAGAUGUAAGGCCAAUUCCUGUGUGAUUUUGUCCUUCUGAGAUAUUGGCAUUCUAAUAGUGUCAUUUCCUGGAGGGGAACACUGCCUACCAGAAAUUGUAAUAAUAAAAGUAGUAAAAGUAAUUUUUAUGUGUGAACAACACCCUUGUGACAAAAUGGUGGCCGUAGCAGGUGGGUGGAGUUAUAUGGCUGAUCCAGGUUGGUCAAUUCAAUUCAGGUGGGUGGGGCUUAGUGCAGAUUCACAUAAAUACAGUCGGAUUUGUGAGGGACCUCCAUUUUGCCUUUGGACCCCCUUUGGAUCAGGACUCCUUUCUGCUUUUGGACCUUCUUGGAUUUGGACUCUUUUCUGCUUUUGGACCUCCUUGGAUAAGAACUCUUUUCUGCUUUGUUUAAAGAAAGGAGUUUUGGAAGACAUGGAAUCUCGAAAAAAUAGCAAAAAGGAUCGCCGCAUUGUUCACUGCCUUCUGUGCCAGAAGCCUCAGGACAGCUUGCCCACCCACCUUCUCAGAACCUGCAUGAAAAAUGCUUCUCCUGAAGAAAGACAGGCAGAGGUGAAGAGAGCCAAAGAAAGUAUGAGAACCUGGACUCGCUACCAGCGCAACUGGGACUACAUGGACUUGUGCAGCAUUUUCCCUGACCAGGUCACCAGAUGGAACAUGGUCCGAAACCUGAGGGAAAGGGGCUUCUUUGUGUCUGGUGCGCCCUCUGACCAGGAUAUCGAGGAGGCAGCGGCCAGGCGGGAGAGGGCGGCUGCAACGGCCAUCAGGACAACGCGGGCCACUGUUUCUAGUACCACUCCUACUAUGGAAGCGGUGCCUGCAGUAGGCAAAAGCACUGGGGCUUCAGAAUCAUCUGAAUCCGAUGGUGGUGACGCUGGGGAUUCAACAAGUCCUUUGAUGACAAACAAGGAGAGGGAGUUGUGGCACCAAGCAUUUUGCAAAGGGCUCGAUUAUAUGUGACUGCCACAGAGAACUGAUCUGUGGUGAGGAAGGUGACGCCAUCCUAAAGGCCACACCACAAGAUACCAUGGGAUAUUUGAAUCGUUCGAGGAAGAACCCCAACGCUAAACCUCUCCACUGCAAAAUACAGUUUAGCAGUGGAGUGAAGGACACCUUGUUGCUCGUGGCAGCAAAAUACAUUGCUGUGGGUGAUGAACUCAAAUGUGAUUAUGGGGUGAAUAGGAAGUCCUUUCGUGGGGAAGGACUUGACCUUGAGUGGCUAGAUGAAUAAUUUGAACAAUCAUCUCUUCCUGGUCUGCUGUCAGAUUUAAGGAUUAUAGCAGACACUGCUUGCCUUAAGGUUUUUUGUAGAAAGAAAUAAUUCUAUAUUUUUAAUGUCAAAUUUUUAAAAUGACAAUGUAGAACAUGCUACUCUGUCACAGCUUGGAAGUUUUUAAUGAUUAUUUUUAUAUUUUGUGUCAAACAAGAUUUUUAAAGUUGUUUUACUUUGACACAAUAUGUAACUGAUGGUAAAUACUGUUGUGAACAUGUAUACUCUGUAAAUAAUAAAAAAAAAAAUUCUUCUUUUACA
RNAcentral lists this long non-coding RNA (2344 nucleotides) under Betta splendens (Siamese fighting fish). RNAcentral describes it as "lncRNA (ENSBSLG00000023128.1)". The record is from RNAcentral. Lineage: Eukaryota; Metazoa; Chordata; Actinopteri; Anabantiformes; Osphronemidae.